GACGAACGCUGGCGGCGUGCUUAACACAUGCAAGUCGAACGGAAAGGCCUGCUUUCCCUUGUGGAUUGCGGGUACUCGAGUGGCGAACGGGUGAGUACCACGUGAGUGAUCUGCCCCCAACUUGGGUAUAAGCCUGGGAAACUGGGUCUAAUUCCCGAUAGGACUGCAGGGUGGUGCCUGUGGUGGAAAACGAUUUUCUAGUGGUUGGGGAUGAGCUCGCGGCCUAUCAGCUUGUUGGUGGGGUAAUGGCCUACCAAGGCGGCGACGGGUAGCCGGCCUGAGAGGGUGGACGGCCACAGUGGGACUGAGAUACGGCCCAGACUCCUACGGGAGGCAGCAGUGGGGAAUAUUGCACAAUGGGCGGAAGCCUGAUGCAGCGACGCCGCGUGGGGGAUGACGGCCUUCGGGUUGUAAACUCCUUUCGACCGCGAGGAAGCCACCUGGUUGGAAGGGUGGUGACGGUAGUGGUAGAAGAAGCACCGGCUAACUACGUG
Molecule: ribosomal RNA, 494 nt
Filed under: uncultured bacterium
Lineage: Bacteria
Description: partial 16S ribosomal RNA
Rfam family: Bacterial small subunit ribosomal RNA
Source: RNAcentral